GAGGCUGGGGCUCAGUGGUAGAGCGCUUGCUUAGCAUGUGUGAGGCACUGCGUUCAAUCCUCAGCACCACA
Molecule: transfer RNA, 71 nt
Filed under: Marmota monax (woodchuck)
Lineage: Eukaryota; Metazoa; Chordata; Mammalia; Rodentia; Sciuridae
Description: tRNA.Ala
Source: RNAcentral